This 209-nucleotide ribosomal RNA is filed under the name uncultured bacterium. RNAcentral's name for it is "partial 16S ribosomal RNA". It matches the Rfam family "Bacterial small subunit ribosomal RNA", at positions 524 to 727 of the family's 1533-position model. The record is from RNAcentral.
UACGUAGGGUGCGAGCGUUGUCCGGAAUUAUUGGGCGUAAAGAGCUCGUAGGCGGUCUGUCGCGUCGAAUGUGAAAACCCGGGGCUCAACUCCGGGCUUGCAUUCGAUACGGGCAGGCUAGAGUUCGGUAGGGGAGUCUGGAAUUCCUGGGUGUAGCGGUGAAAUGCGCAGGAUAAUCAGGAGGAACACCGAUGGCGAAAGGGCAGGGU